AGUGAACGCUGGCGGUAGGCCUAACACAUGCAAGUCGAACGGCAGCACAGUAAGAGCUUGCUCUUACGGGUGGCGAGUGGCGGACGGGUGAGGAAUACAUCGGAAUCUACUUUUUCGUGGGGGAUAACGUAGGGAAACUUACGCUAAUACCGCAUACGACCUACGGGUGAAAGCAGGGGAUCUUCGGACCUUGCGCGAUUGAAUGAGCCGAUGUCGGAUUAGAUAGUUGGCGGGGUAAAGGCCCACCAAGACGACGAUCCGUAGCUGGUCUGAGAGGAUGAUCAGCCACACUGGAACUGAGACACGAUCCGGACUCCUACGGGAGGCAGCAGUGGGGAAUAUUGGACAAUGGGCGCAAGCCUGAUCCAGCCAUACCGCGUGUGUGAAGAAGGCCUUCGGGUUGUAAAGCCCUUUUGUUGGGAAAGAAAAGCAGCAGGUUAAUACCCCGCUGUUCUGACGGUACCCAAAGAAUAAGCACCGGCUAACUUCGUG
RNAcentral lists this ribosomal RNA (492 nucleotides) under uncultured bacterium. Its description in RNAcentral is "partial 16S ribosomal RNA". It matches the Rfam family "Bacterial small subunit ribosomal RNA", at positions 29 to 507 of the family's 1533-position model. The record is from RNAcentral.